UUUCCGUAGGUGAACCUGCGGAAGGAUCAUCAUUGAACCUCUAAAUAUCAACCAAACACCUGUGUGAACAGUUCGGGGGCUGGGAGGAAGGAUCUUCGGAACCUUCAGCCCGCCUUCCUUUUUUUCCCCUCCCAUAGGGAAGAAAACGAAAAAACCCCUUCUUCACCUCUUGAUUUUACUUUUUGACAGAAAUCCAAAUGUUAUCGCAAGAUAACGCUUGAAAAACAAAAAGACAACUUUUAACAACGGAUCUCUUGGCUCUC
This 263-nucleotide unclassified non-coding RNA is filed under the name plant metagenome. RNAcentral describes it as "partial contains small subunit ribosomal RNA, internal transcribed spacer 1, and 5.8S ribosomal RNA". The record is from RNAcentral.